UACGAAGGGGGCUAGCGUUGCUCGGAAUCAUUGGGCGUAAAGCGCACGUAGGCGGUCUGGUAUGUCGGAUGUGAAAGCCCUUGGCUUAACUGAGGAAGUGCAUCCGAAACUGGCAGGCUAGAGUACUAAAGAGGGUCGCGGAAUUCCCGGUGUAGAGGUGAAAUUCGUAGAUAUCGGGAGGAACACCGGUGGCGAAGGCGGCGACCUGGGUAGAUACUGACGCUGAGGUGCGAAAGCGUGGGGAGCGAACGGG
Molecule: ribosomal RNA, 253 nt
Filed under: uncultured bacterium
Lineage: Bacteria
Description: partial 16S ribosomal RNA
Rfam family: Bacterial small subunit ribosomal RNA
Source: RNAcentral